This 253-nucleotide ribosomal RNA is filed under the name uncultured Flavobacteriales bacterium. RNAcentral describes it as "partial 16S ribosomal RNA". It matches the Rfam family "Bacterial small subunit ribosomal RNA", at positions 524 to 776 of the family's 1533-position model. Lineage: Bacteria; Pseudomonadati; Bacteroidota; Flavobacteriia; Flavobacteriales. The record is from RNAcentral.
UACGGAGGGUGCAAGCGUUAUCCGGAUUUAUUGGGUUUAAAGGGUCCGUAGGCGGGCUUAUAAGUCAGUGGUGAAAUCCUAUCGCUUAACGAUAGAACUGCCAUUGAUACUGUAAGUCUUGAGUGUAUUUGAAGUGGCUGGAAUAAGUAGUGUAGCGGUGAAAUGCAUAGAUAUUACUUAGAACACCAAUUGCGAAGGCAGGUCACUAAGAUACAACUGACGCUGAUGGACGAAAGCGUGGGGAGCGAACAGG